GGCCAUAGUAACUCUUCUUGAGAUCUUCGCAGCAGCCAUUAGCUUUGUGGUUGUUCGCUUUUUGUUGAAUAAAAAUAGCCAACCCAUAAAUUGGCCAGUCUUCGGUAUGCUGCCGGAUACUCUCUUCCACUUUCACCGAGCUCACGAUAGGUUCACAGAAGUUAUUGAGCGAAGUGGGCAUACCUUUUUCUACCAAGGUCCCUGGUUUUCCAACGUCAAAUUGUUAGCCACAG
This 233-nucleotide unclassified non-coding RNA is filed under the name Hevea brasiliensis (rubber tree). Lineage: Eukaryota; Viridiplantae; Streptophyta; Magnoliopsida; Malpighiales; Euphorbiaceae. The record is from RNAcentral.